GAUGAAGAACGCAGCGAAAUGCGAUAAGUAAUGUGAAUUGCAGAAUUCAGUGAAUCAUCGAAUCUUUGAACGCAUCUUGCGCUCCUUGGUAUUCUGAGGAGCAUGCCUGUUUGAGUGUCAUUAAAUUCUCAACUACACUGACUUUGAAUUGGUGUGGCUUGGAUUUGGGGGGAAAAUUGUUGUGGGCUUUUUGUAUAGUCUGCUCCCCUGAAAUUGAUUAGCGGUACCUUUGUGGAACUGUCUACAGGUGUGAUAAUUAUCUACAUCUGCUGGAAUGCUGCUUUCUAAACCUUACUUGUAUUGACAAUCUUGACCUCAAAUCAGGUAGGACUACCCGCUGAACUUAAGCAUAUCAAUAAGCGCAGGA
RNAcentral lists this unclassified non-coding RNA (367 nucleotides) under soil metagenome. Its description in RNAcentral is "partial contains 5.8S ribosomal RNA, internal transcribed spacer 2, and large subunit ribosomal RNA". The stretch from base 1 to 120 matches the Rfam family "5.8S ribosomal RNA", at positions 35 to 154 of the family's 154-position model. The record is from RNAcentral.